UUGUUGCGAACGUCGACGAGUUGAUGUA
Molecule: small RNA, 28 nt
Filed under: Bombyx mori (domestic silkworm)
Lineage: Eukaryota; Metazoa; Arthropoda; Insecta; Lepidoptera; Bombycidae
Description: ovarian small RNA-640
Source: RNAcentral